UGCCAGACCCAACAUUAUUUCGUCGAUC
Molecule: non-coding RNA, 28 nt
Filed under: Mus musculus (house mouse)
Lineage: Eukaryota; Metazoa; Chordata; Mammalia; Rodentia; Muridae
Source: RNAcentral